This 250-nucleotide ribosomal RNA is filed under the name uncultured bacterium. Its description in RNAcentral is "partial 16S ribosomal RNA". It matches the Rfam family "Bacterial small subunit ribosomal RNA", at positions 524 to 773 of the family's 1533-position model. The record is from RNAcentral.
UACGAAGGGUGCUAGCGUUAUUCGGAUUUAUUGGGCGUAAAGGGUGCGCAGGCGGUAUGUUAAGUCAACUGUUAAAUAUCCCAGCCUAACUGGGAACCAGCAGUAGAUACUGAUGUGCUAGAGGAUGGAAGAGAGAAGUGGAAUUCUCGGAGUAGCGGUAAAAUGCGUAGAUCUCGAGAGGAACACCAAUGGCGAAGGCAGCUUCUUGGUCCAUACCUGACGCUCAUGCACGAAAGCGUGGGGAGCAAAC